RNAcentral lists this long non-coding RNA (216 nucleotides) under Chloebia gouldiae (Gouldian finch). Its description in RNAcentral is "Erythrura gouldiae (Gouldian finch) lncRNA (ENSEGOG00005014702.1)". Lineage: Eukaryota; Metazoa; Chordata; Aves; Passeriformes; Passeridae. The record is from RNAcentral.
GCUCGGGGAGCGCUCCCGGCGCGGCUGCGGGAGCGGCAGGCUCCGGCUCCAGCGGGAGAGCAGCGCUGGAGCCGCAGGCUUAAAAGCAGGAAGAAGUUGUUGAACUUAAAAUUCAGCUGAUCGGUGCCCAGUCCCAGUUCAGAGAGUGGAAGCAGAGGAACAAUUUCAUGACCAAGAUGCCCGUGAAGUUUAAUCUCUCUUAAGAAGACAAACCCC